AUGGCUAUGCCAGGUAGGAGACCUGCGCAAACUCCCUGUGCUUUCCGGUGGGCUAAAGAGACCGGGCAGGCACCGUGUUAUGCUAGUGAGCGCACGGUGUCUCCAGUGCGGGUGCAUAGCCCGGUACGGUUCAUACCAGCCCUUCGUAUUGGCCGUGCUAGAGCGGGCAUCGAGCCAGGUAAGCUUGGGCAGGCUCGGUGCUCAAGAGCUCCAGUGCGCCUGCACGGUCCGGUCUAUCCAGAACCACCUCCACACACCAGUCCUCCGGUAGCAGCUCCCCGUACCAUGCUUCCUGUGCGUGUCCUCGCUCCAGUAUCACCAGUGCCCGCACCACGCAUCAGGCCUACAGUGCGCCUCGCCUCUCCUGCUCUGUCGGAGUCUCCCGCCUGUUCAGCACAGCCAGAGCCUUCCUUCCCUCCUGCGCUGUCGGAGUCUCCCGCCUGUUCAGCGCAGCCAGCGUUUUCCUCCUCUCCUGCGCUGUCGGAGUCUCCCGCCUGUUCAGCGCAGCCAGCGUUUUCCUCCUCUCCUGCGCUGCCGGAGCCUCCUGCCUGUUUGAAGCAGCCUGAGCUGCCAGUCUGCAGGGUGCUGUCAGUCUGCAUGAAGCAGCCAGAGCUGUCAGUCUGCAAGGAGCUGUCAGCCUGCAUGGAGCAGUCAGAGCUGUCAGUCUGCAUGAAGCAGCCAGAGAUGUCAGUCUGCAAAGAGCUGCCAGUCUGCAUGGAGCUGCCAGUCUGCAGGGUGCUGUCAGCCUGCAUGGAGCAGUCAGAGCUGUCAGUCUGCAUGAAGCAGCCAGAGAUGCCAGUCUGCAAGGAGCUGCCAGUCUGCAAGGAGCUGCCAGUCUGCAAGGAGCUGCCAGUCUGCAGGGUGCUGUCAGCCUGCAUGGAGCAGCCAGAGAUGUCAGUCUGCAUGAAGCAGCCAGAGAUGUCAGUCUGCAAAGAGCUGCCAGUCUGCAAGGAGCUGCCAGUCUGCAGGGUGCGGUCAGCCUGCAUGGAGCAGUCAGAGCUGUCAGUCUGCAUGAAGCAGCCAGAGCUGUCAGUCUGCAAGGAGCUGUCAGCUUGCAUGGAGCAGUCAGAGCUGCCAGUCUGCAUAGAGCAGCUAGAUCCGCCAGUCAACCAGAUUCUUCCAGAUCAGCCUGUCAACCAGAAUCUUCCAGAUCUGCUAGUCAACCAGAAUCUUCCAGAUCUGCUAGUCAACCAGAAUCUUCCAGAUCUGCUAGUCAACCAGAAUCUUCCAGAUCUGCUAGUCAACCUGAAUCUUCCAGAUCCGCCAGCCAGCCAGGAUCUACCGGAGCCUACUACCUACCUGAGCUUCAUCUCAGUACUGGGCUUCCUCUCAGUACUGGGCUUCCCCUCAGUUCCGGGCUGCCCCUCAGUUCCGGGCUGCCCCUCAGUUCCGGGCUGCCCCUCAGUCCCGAGCUGCCCCUCAGUCCCGAGCUGCCCCGCAGUCCCGAGCUGCCCCGCAGUCCCGAGCUGCCCCUCAGUUCCGGGCUGCCCCGCAGUCCCGAGCUGCCCCUCAGUCCCGAGCUGUCCCUCAGUCCCGAGCUGUCCCUCAGUCCCGAGAUGCCCCUCAGUCACGAGCUGCUCCUCAGUUCUGUGGGGUUCUGGGUGA
This 1605-nucleotide long non-coding RNA is filed under the name Oncorhynchus kisutch (coho salmon). RNAcentral's name for it is "lncRNA (ENSOKIG00005017021.1)". The record is from RNAcentral. Lineage: Eukaryota; Metazoa; Chordata; Actinopteri; Salmoniformes; Salmonidae.